RNAcentral lists this ribosomal RNA (825 nucleotides) under Triticum aestivum (bread wheat). RNAcentral describes it as "partial small subunit ribosomal RNA". Lineage: Eukaryota; Viridiplantae; Streptophyta; Magnoliopsida; Poales; Poaceae. The record is from RNAcentral.
AUGAUGCGGUACGCCACGCCGCAGUCCACCCCGCCGAUGUCGCCGCUCCACGGUACGGCGACGCCUCGCACUCCCGGCGCGUACUCUGAGAUGCCGCCGCCCUCGCCACGGCCCGCGAUCACGCUCACCCCGCCCCCGUCCAAGAAGAAGCAGCGCCGCACGGCCGCGCGCUCGCUCCGCGCCAUCCGCGCCGUGCGCGCGCUGUUCCGGUCCCUCCCGAUCCUCGCCCCGGCGUGCCGCUUCCACGGCAUCGUCCCGCGGCACGGCGGGCCGUCGCGGAUGCACGACGGCCACGUCAGCGGCGCCUCGCGCACGACGGGGACGCUGUUCGGGUACCGCAGGGCGCGGGUGACGCUGGCGGUGCAGGAGACGCCCGGGAGCGUGCCCAUCCUGCUGCUGGAGCUGGCGAUGCAGACCGGCAGGUUCAUGCAGGAGAUGGGCGCCGAGCACCUGCGCGUGGCGCUCGAGUGCGAGAAGAAGCCGCCGGGCGCCGGCGCCGGCAUCGGCCGCACGCGCCUGCUCGACGAGCCGCUGUGGACGGCCUACGUGAACGGGCGGAAGAUCGGGUACGCCAUGCGCCGGGAGCCCACGGAGGACGACCUCACGGUCAUGCAGCUGCUGCGCACCGUGUCGGUCGGCGCCGGCGUGCUGCCGAACGACGUCAUGGGUUGCGACACCGCCGAGGGGCAGGAGGCCGGCGACCUGGCGUACAUGCGCGCGCGCUUCGACCGCGUGGUGGGGUCCCGGGACUCCGAGUCGCUGUACAUGCUCAACCCUGACGGGAACAAUGGGCCAGAGCUUAGCAUCUUCUUCAUUAGGAUAUGA